GAUGAACGCUGGCGGCGUGCUUAACACAUGCAAGUCGAACGAUGAAGCCCAGCUUGCUGGGUGGAUUAGUGGCGAACGGGUGAGUAACACGUGAGUAACCUGCCCUUGACUCUGGGAUAAGCCCGGGAAACUGGGUCUAAUACCGGAUAGGAGCGCCUGUCGCAUGACGGGUGCUGGAAAGAUUUUUCGGUCAUGGAUGGACUCGCGGCCUAUCAGCUUGUUGGUGAGGUAAUGGCUCACCAAGGCGACGACGGGUAGCCGGCCUGAGAGGGUUACCGGCCACACUGGGACUGAGACACGGCCCAGACUCCUACGGGAGGCAGCAGUGGGGAAUAUUGCACAAUGGGCGGAAGCCUGAUGCAGCGACGCCGCGUGAGGGAUGACGGCCUUCGGGUUGUAAACCUCUUUCAGUAGGGAAGAAGCGGAAGUGACGGUACCUGCAGAAGAAGCACCGGCUAACUACGUG
RNAcentral lists this ribosomal RNA (466 nucleotides) under uncultured bacterium. RNAcentral describes it as "partial 16S ribosomal RNA". It matches the Rfam family "Bacterial small subunit ribosomal RNA", at positions 28 to 507 of the family's 1533-position model. The record is from RNAcentral.